Molecule: ribosomal RNA, 506 nt
Filed under: uncultured bacterium
Lineage: Bacteria
Description: partial 16S ribosomal RNA
Rfam family: Bacterial small subunit ribosomal RNA
Source: RNAcentral
GAUGAACGCUAGCUACAGGCUUAACACAUGCAAGUCGAGGGGUAACGAGAGGAAAGCUUGCUUUCCUUGUCGACGACCGGCGCACGGGUGAGUAACGCGUAUCCAACCUGCCCCCAACUAGGGAAUAACCUUGCGAAAGUAAGACUAAUACCCUAUAAUUUCCUCAGAUGACAUCUGACGAGGAAUAAAGAUUUAUUGGUUGUGGAUGGGGAUGCGUCUGAUUAGCUUGUUGGCGGGGUAACGGCCCACCAAGGCAACGAUCAGUAGGGGUUCUGAGAGGAAGGUCCCCCACAUUGGAACUGAGACACGGUCCAAACUCCUACGGGAGGCAGCAGUGAGGAAUAUUGGUCAAUGGGCGGAAGCCUGAACCGGCCAAGUAGCGUGCAGGAUGACGGCCCUAUGGGUUGUAAACUGCUUUUAUACAGGAAUAAAGUUAGCCACGUGUGGUUAUUUGUAGGUACUGUAUGAAUAAGGACCGGCUAAUUCCGUGCCAGCAGCCGCCGUAA